UGGUAAACCAUUUCUUAUGAAGACCUUCAAAGAUGGAAACAGAAAUGUAGAAAUAGACAAAUGAAGUGUAUUUAUUACUUAGGCCAUCUCAAACAUUUCUUUUUUGUCUUUUACACGGUUCCCUUUGCCAGGUGUGGCAUGAAGAGGUGCCAGGCAGGAGAGAGGAGGAGAGUUCCAGAGGGCGAGCAGGUGUGCUGCUACCAACAUGACCCUUGUCCAGAAGGGACCAUUUCUGAUCAGACAGAAAUGAAAUGUUAGAAUAGUUUGGAUGAAUAUGAAGAUAGAAGAAACUUAUGGAAGAUGGAAAACAAGCCUAGAAGAUAACACCGAGGGGUCACAGGGAAGGGAGGAUUGAUGUAUUAAACGUUUGUCUGCCUUAAAAAAUAAAAAAAAUAAAAAAGA
Molecule: long non-coding RNA, 402 nt
Organism: Pantherophis guttatus
Lineage: Eukaryota; Metazoa; Chordata; Lepidosauria; Squamata; Colubridae
Source: RefSeq, a predicted model, not a curated record